GCGGGGGCAGUGAUCAAAUUGUAACUUGGCCAGGAGAAUCAGAAGCUAGAGGAAAAUGGAGGAGGAAAGAAGAACCACAUCUGUUUCUACCGCGCCAUGGCACCCGGGGGGGUCUCGAAUUACACUUCCAUCCCACCUUCCCCCUCCCUCCCGGCCAGGGGUUGGCUCAGGAAUAGUUGAAACUGUGAUUCGCUGCUACAGUUCUCUGUGCUGUCCUGGUUGCUACAAGCUGAAGUCUGCUCAGUUCUGGGGAGGAAAGAGCUGCUCGUACACCUCCAAGAGCUUGUGCAUUUUCUCCUGCAAGAGACAUGGGACUCAGGCACCAAAGGUCUGUGAGAGUGGCUGGUGACCUAGAGAUGCACGGAGUCCUUCCCUGCAACCGUGGCCCAGAAUCCAGAGAGGGCAAUGAGCUACUGACAAGGGUUGGAGGGAAAACAGAGUGAUGUUUGAGUUGGGUAUUGAAGGAUGAAUAGGAGUUCACCAUGCAGAGCAUAAAAACAACGAUAAACAGGAACAGAGCUAACCAUUGCUGUAAGCCAUGUGCUGUUCUACAUGAUACAUGUUUUAACUCACCUAGUGAGGUGAAUGCCAUUGUUAUCUUCAUUUUACAGACAAGGAAACUGAGGCACAGAGCGGUCAGUUGAGUAUCUGAGACCCAGACUCGGACAAUCCAUAUGUCACCUUCCCCUGACCAUGGUGACUGGUGGGGUGGUCACAUGGGUAACCAGCACCCAGAAGUGCGAUGGGACAGCGUCAAAGCUCAUGCUUCAGCUCUGAGCCAGACGCUAGUGUAGCAGAACGCAGAGGUGAGCCUGCGGCAACCUCGACAACAG
RNAcentral lists this long non-coding RNA (833 nucleotides) under Pan troglodytes (chimpanzee). RNAcentral describes it as "long non-coding RNA NONPTRT017877". Lineage: Eukaryota; Metazoa; Chordata; Mammalia; Primates; Hominidae. The record is from RNAcentral.